This 695-nucleotide ribosomal RNA is filed under the name Pseudomonas sp. RNAcentral's name for it is "bacterial SSU rRNA". It matches the Rfam family "Bacterial small subunit ribosomal RNA", at positions 55 to 745 of the family's 1533-position model. The record is from RNAcentral. Lineage: Bacteria; Pseudomonadati; Pseudomonadota; Gammaproteobacteria; Pseudomonadales; Pseudomonadaceae.
AUGCAAGUCGAGCGGUAGAGAGGAGCUUGCUUCUCUUGAGAGCGGCGGACGGGUGAGUAAUGCCUAGGAAUCUGCCUAGUGGUGGGGGAUAACGUUCGGAAACGGACGCUAAUACCGCAUACGUCCUACGGGAGAAAGCGGGGGACCUUCGGGCCUCGCGCCAUUAGAUGAGCCUAGGUCGGAUUAGCUAGUUGGUGAGGUAACGGCUCACCAAGGCGACGAUCCGUAACUGGUCUGAGAGGAUGAUCAGUCACACUGGAACUGAGACACGGUCCAGACUCCUACGGGAGGCAGCAGUGGGGAAUAUUGGACAAUGGGCGAAAGCCUGAUCCAGCCAUGCCGCGUGUGUGAAGAAGGUCUUCGGAUUGUAAAGCACUUUAAGUUGGGAGGAAGGGCAGUAACUUAAUACGUUGCUGUUUUGACGUUACCGACAGAAUAAGCACCGGCUAACUCUGUGCCAGCAGCCGCGGUAAUACAGAGGGUGCAAGCGUUAAUCGGAAUUACUGGGCGUAAAGCGCGCGUAGGUGGUUUGUUAAGUUGGAUGUGAAAGCCCCGGGCUCAACCUGGGAACUGCAUCCAAAACUGGCAAGCUAGAGUACGGUAGAGGGUGGUGGAAUUUCCUGUGUAGCGGUGAAAUGCGUAGAUAUAGGAAGGAACACCAGUGGCGAAGGCGACCACCUGGACUGAUACUGACA